CAAAAUAUAUAUAUAUAUCAAUGUAAGGACACUGUCCUUCAUGUCCCUCCCAUCAAGGUGUACUAUGCAGAUUUUAAUCCAUAUCAACCACUGUCCAGCCCAAAGAGCGACGCAUCCAAUCAGAGCUUUGUUUGGCCCGACAAGCCGGACUUGGGCGCCGUUGCCAAGGCGUGGGGGGACAGCCCGUACUUGUUCAUCGUCAAGGUGCAGCCGCUCUUACGCGGCGUUGAGGAGGAGGACUUUGCGGCCGAGCAGCUCAACUUUGCUUUCACCAGUGAGGAGGAUGACGUGGCCUGACCUUGAAAAGCAACAACAAAAA
This is a long non-coding RNA of Hippocampus comes (tiger tail seahorse), 319 nucleotides long. RefSeq lists it as uncharacterized. The transcript has 3 exons. Lineage: Eukaryota; Metazoa; Chordata; Actinopteri; Syngnathiformes; Syngnathidae. The record is from RefSeq and is a predicted model, not a curated record.